CGUCCUCUCAAGCUCUUUUGCUUGGAUAACAUUGGGGAAGCAAUACAAAGUCGAUCCGGGCUCUGUGUGCUCCCCAGAAAUAUAUAGGCGGUACGGUUCCAGCAAACCAGACGUAAUAAUCUCUUAUCUCGUCCUUUGCUUUGGGUCUGUUGCUUGCCUCUUAAUCCACAUCUUUCUUCA
Molecule: unclassified non-coding RNA, 180 nt
Filed under: uncultured fungus
Lineage: Eukaryota; Fungi
Description: sequence contains ITS2
Source: RNAcentral